GUAUUAUCAUUUGAAGUGGACAAGGAGACGAAGAAGCGGUUUAACCGAAGUAGGAGUUAGCGGUUUAGCGCAGAGAC
RNAcentral lists this small RNA (77 nucleotides) under Arabidopsis thaliana (thale cress). RNAcentral describes it as "ATSL152190". The record is from RNAcentral. Lineage: Eukaryota; Viridiplantae; Streptophyta; Magnoliopsida; Brassicales; Brassicaceae.